UACGUAGGGGGCAAGCGUUGUCCGGAAUUAUUGGGCGUAAAGAGCGUGUAGGCGGCCAGAUAAGUCCGCUGUGAAAUCUCGAGGCUCAACUUCGAGCUGUCGGUGGAAACUGUCUGGCUAGAGUCCGGAAGAGGAGAAUGGAAUUCCUGGUGUAGCGGUGAAAUGCGCAGAUAUCAGGAAGAACACCUAUGGCGAAGGCAGCACUCUGGGACGGUACUGACGCUGAGACGCGAAAGCGUGGGGAGCGAACAGG
RNAcentral lists this ribosomal RNA (253 nucleotides) under uncultured bacterium. RNAcentral describes it as "partial 16S ribosomal RNA". It matches the Rfam family "Bacterial small subunit ribosomal RNA", at positions 524 to 776 of the family's 1533-position model. The record is from RNAcentral.